This 499-nucleotide ribosomal RNA is filed under the name uncultured bacterium. Its description in RNAcentral is "bacterial SSU rRNA". It matches the Rfam family "Bacterial small subunit ribosomal RNA", at positions 899 to 1397 of the family's 1533-position model. The record is from RNAcentral.
ACUCAAAGGAAUUGACGGGGGCCCGCACAAGCAGCGGAGCAUGUGGUUUAAUUCGAAGCAACGCGAAGAACCUUACCAGGUCUUGACAUCGAUCCAAAAGCCAUAGAGAUAUGGUGUAACUUAGGUUGGGAGAAGACAGGUGGUGCAUGGUUGUCGUCAGCUCGUGUCGUGAGAUGUUGGGUUAAGUCCCGCAACGAGCGCAACCCUUAUGGUCAGUUACUAACGCGUAGAGGCGAGGACUCUGACGAGACCGCCGGGGACAACUCGGAGGAAGGUGGGGACGACGUCAAAUCAUCAUGCCCCUAAUGACCUGGGCUACACACGUGCUACAAUGGUGGCAACAAAGAGGGGCGAACCCGCGAGGGGGAGCGGAUCUCAAAAAAGCCAUCUCAGUUCGGAUUGUGGGCUGCAACCCGCCCACAUGAAGUCGGAGUUGCUAGUAAUCGCGAAUCAUCAUGUCGCGGUGAAUACGUUCCCGGGCCUUGUACACACCGCCCGU